UACGAAGGGGGCUAGCGUUGUUCGGAAUUACUGGGCGUAAAGCGUGCGCAGGCGGCUUCUCAAGUCAGGGGUGAAAGCCCAGAGCUCAACUCUGGAAUUGCCUUUGAGACUGAGUGGCUUGAGUACGAGAGAGGUGAGUGGAAUUCCCAGUGUAGAGGUGAAAUUCGUAGAUAUUGGGAAGAACACCGGUGGCGAAGGCGGCUCACUGGCUCGUUACUGACGCUCAGGCACGACAGCGUGGGGAUCAAACAGG
This 253-nucleotide ribosomal RNA is filed under the name uncultured bacterium. Its description in RNAcentral is "partial 16S ribosomal RNA". It matches the Rfam family "Bacterial small subunit ribosomal RNA", at positions 524 to 776 of the family's 1533-position model. The record is from RNAcentral.